GAAUGUGAGGGUGAUCUGGCUGUGACAUCUGUCACCCCACGGAUCGCCAGAGUUGAUUCGGCUGAUAUGGCUGGCUAGGCCGGUGUCUCCUUCCUCCCUCAUUGCUACAUGUGCAUCUGGAAGCUGUGCGCUAGGUCAAAGAGGACGGCCUUCCCCGAAUAAAGACCUCCAA
RNAcentral lists this small nuclear RNA (172 nucleotides) under Erinaceus europaeus (western European hedgehog). RNAcentral's name for it is "7SK RNA". It matches the Rfam family "7SK RNA", at positions 1 to 178 of the family's 331-position model. Rfam says of the family: 7SK was discovered as an abundant small nuclear RNA in the mid-70s but a possible function has only recently been suggested. Two independent studies have found that 7SK RNA binds the CDK9/cyclin T complex (known as elongation factor P-TEFb). Lineage: Eukaryota; Metazoa; Chordata; Mammalia; Eulipotyphla; Erinaceidae. The record is from Rfam by way of RNAcentral.